GAACGCUAGCGGCAGGCCUCAUACAUGCAAGUCGAGGGGCAGCAGGACACUUCGGUGUUGCUGGCGACCGGCGUACGGGUGCGUAACAUGUAUGCAAUCUACCUUGUACUAGAGCAUAGCCCUCGGAAACGAAGAUUAAUACUCCAUACAGUCUUACUAGCACCUGCUAGUAAGAUGAAAGCUCCGGCGGUACAAGAUGAGCAUGCACCCCAUUAGCUUGUUGGUGAGAUAAUAGCUCACCAAGGCUACGAUGGGUAGGGGUUCUGAGAGGAAAAUCCCCCACACUGGCACUGAGAUACGGGCCAGACUCCUACGGGAGGCAGCAGUAGGGAAUAUUGGUCAAUGGGCGCAAGCCUGAACCAGCCAUGCCGCGUGCAGGAUGAAGGCCCUCAGGGUUGUAAACUGCUUUUAUAUGGGAAUAAAAAAGUCCUUGCGAGGACUCUUGAAGGUACCAUAAGAAUAAGCACCGGCUAACUCCGUGCCAGCAGCCGCGGUAAU
RNAcentral lists this ribosomal RNA (498 nucleotides) under uncultured bacterium. RNAcentral's name for it is "bacterial SSU rRNA". It matches the Rfam family "Bacterial small subunit ribosomal RNA", at positions 31 to 524 of the family's 1533-position model. The record is from RNAcentral.